GAACCAACAGGGAUUGCCCCAGUAACGGCGAGUGAAGCGGCAACAGCUCAAAUUUGAAAUCUGGCCCUUGUCGGGGUCCGAGUUGUAAUUUGUAGAGGGUGCUUUGGCGUCGGCUGCGGUCCAAGUUCCUUGGAACAGGACGUCACAGAGGGUGAGAAUCCCGUACGUGGCUGCGUGCCUUCGCCGUGUAAAGCCCCUUCAACAAGUCGAGUUGUUUGGGAAUGCAGCUCUAAAUGGGAGGUAAAUUUCUUCUAAAGCUAAAUACCGGCCAAAGACCGAUAGCGCACAAGUAGAGGGAUCGAAAGAUGAAAAGCACUUUGGAAAGAAAGUCAAAAAGCACGUGAAAUUGUUGAAAGGGAAGCGCUUGCAGCCAGACGUGCCCGCGGUUGCUCAUCCGGAUCACUGUCCGGUGCACUCUCCCGCGGGCAGGCCAGCAUCGGUUUGGGCGGUUGGAUAAAGGCUCCGGGAAUGUAGCUCCCCCCGGGGAGUGUUAUAGCCCGGUGCGCAAUGCAGCCAGCCCGGACCGAGGCCCGCGCGCAUGCUAGGAUGCUGGCGUAAUGGUUGUAAGCGGCCCGUCUUGAAACACGGACCAAGGAGUCUAACAUCUAUGCGAGUGUUUGGGUGUCAAGCCCGGGCGCGCAAUGAAAGUGAACGGAGGUGGGAACCCCCUCGAGGGCGCACCAUCGACCGAUCCUGAUGUCUUCAGAUGGAUUUGAGU
RNAcentral lists this ribosomal RNA (718 nucleotides) under Rimora mangrovei. RNAcentral describes it as "partial large subunit ribosomal RNA". It matches the Rfam family "Eukaryotic large subunit ribosomal RNA", at positions 56 to 795 of the family's 3401-position model. Lineage: Eukaryota; Fungi; Ascomycota; Dothideomycetes; Pleosporales; Aigialaceae. The record is from RNAcentral.